AUGAACAACAGAAUACUAUCGGGAAGAGACACAGGAGCUUUGACCAGAGGCUAUGUGAAGGAGCUCAAGGUUGCUGUGCCUAAAAAACCGGGGUUUAAAGCUUUUGUGAAUGCAACUUCUCAUAAUGCCAGUGGCUAUUGCAUUGAUAUCUUUGAGGCUGCUGCGAAGAAACUACCACAUGUUCUUCAUUAUGAGUUCAUUGCCGUUGAUGGUUCUUAUGACGAACUAGUACGCAACGUGUCUUCGGGGAACUACGAUGCAGUAGUGGGUGACAUAACUAUAACCGCAGCGCGAGCUGUAGACGUGGACUUCACGAUGCCAUACACUGAGUCAUGCGUGUCACUGCUUGUGCUCACCGAGAAUGACUCCAAGUCAGCAAUUGAAUGGAGCUACACAGCUAGCUUAUCAUCCAUUUUGACUGCAAAGAGGCUCCGGCCCUCAGUGACAGAUCUUGAGCAGCUCCGAUCAAAUGGUGAUUAUAUUGGAUACCAAUCUGGAUCAUUUGUACGUUCUGUCUUGAUAAAAGAAGGCUUCAAUGUCAAUAGGCUAAAGGACUAUCCGAAUAAAGAGGAAUAUGCUAAAGCUUUGAGGAAGGGAUCAAAGAAUGGAGGUGUCUCAGCUAUCGUUGAUGAGAUCCCAUAUAUAACCUCGUUUCUCUCUGACCCUAAAUACAUUAAUGAAUUCCAGAUGGUUAAUCGCAUAUACAAGACACCUGGACUUGGUUUCGUGUUUCCUCAAAAAUCUCCGCUGGUGCAUGAUCUUUCGGUUGCCAUCCUGGACCUUGGGGCUGAGGGCUCACGAAUUGAAAAGAAAUGGUUAGGCACAGAAACACCAUUGCCCAGCUAUGGCAUCCCCAACACGGACGCGGCACCUCUCACUUUGCGAAGUUUCUCUGGUCUCUUCAUCAUCACUGUAUGUAUGUCAGCUCUCAUGCUGUUGAUAAGCAUUGCCAAGUCGGUUCAUGCCAAAUACACCAAAGUGAGGGAUUCUGAUAUGCAGAGUGCCGAUGGAGAUGGCAGAAGUGAAGGCCACAGAGGAUUUGGUCCGCUGCAGAACGACAUGUGCAAUGGGUCUAUGGCUGAUCAACCCCACCAUGAAGCCAGAAAUGAGCAUCCUCAGGGUGUCAGUGGGAUCAGAGAAAGUCCUGGUGAUGUAGAACCCAAUGACUCUGUGCCCGAACACGCCAUCCUAAUCGAGAUGAACACCCGAUGA
RNAcentral lists this ribosomal RNA (1212 nucleotides) under Triticum aestivum (bread wheat). Its description in RNAcentral is "partial small subunit ribosomal RNA". Lineage: Eukaryota; Viridiplantae; Streptophyta; Magnoliopsida; Poales; Poaceae. The record is from RNAcentral.